Molecule: ribosomal RNA, 497 nt
Filed under: uncultured bacterium
Lineage: Bacteria
Description: partial 16S ribosomal RNA
Rfam family: Bacterial small subunit ribosomal RNA
Source: RNAcentral
GAUGAACGCUGGCGGCGUGCCUAAUACAUGCAAGUCGAGCGAACAGACGAGGAGCUUGCUCCUCUGACGUUAGCGGCGGACGGGUGAGUAACACGUGGAUAACCUACCUAUAAGACUGGGAUAACUUCGGGAAACCGGAGCUAAUACCAGAUAACAUGUUGAACCGCAUGGUUCAACAGUGAAAGACGGUCUUGCUGUCACUUAUAGAUGGAUCCGCGCCGCAUUAGCUAGUUGGUAAGGUAACGGCUUACCAAGGCAACGAUGCGUAGCCGACCUGAGAGGGUGAUCGGCCACACUGGAACUGAGACACGGUCCAGACUCCUACGGGAGGCAGCAGUAGGGAAUCUUCCGCAAUGGGCGAAAGCCUGACGGAGCAACGCCGCGUGAGUGAUGAAGGUCUUCGGAUCGUAAAACUCUGUUAUUAGGGAAGAACAAAUGUGUAAGUAACUAUGCACGUCUUGACGGCACCUAAUCAGAAAGCCACGGCUAACUACGUG